AGAGGGGAGUACGCAGUUCUUUUAUUGUCCCAGUCCCCACGAUUUCCCCCAAAAGUCCACCCAUUUCCACGGAGCUCAUUACCAUACGGGGCAAGCACAGCCUGGCAGGC
Long non-coding RNA from Aquila chrysaetos chrysaetos, 110 nucleotides. RefSeq lists it as uncharacterized. The record is from RefSeq and is a predicted model, not a curated record. NCBI's taxonomy places the organism in Eukaryota, Metazoa, Chordata, Aves, Accipitriformes, Accipitridae. The transcript is spliced from 4 exons.